AAUGAACGCUGGCGGCGUGCUUAACACAUGCAAGUCGAACGAGAAAGUUUUCUUCGGAAAACGAGUAAAGUGGCGCACGGGUGAGUAACGCGUGAAUAAUCUACCCCUGAAUUUGGGAUAACAGUUCGAAAGGGCUGCUAAUACCGGAUGACAUAAUCCUUACCACGGUUUGGAUUAUCAAAGAGGGCCUCUCCUUGGAAGCUCUUGUUUGGGGAUGAGUUCGCGUACCAUUAGCUUGUUGGUGGGGUAAUGGCCUACCAAGGCUUCGAUGGUUAGCUGGUCUGAGAGGAUGAUCAGCCACACUGGAACUGACACACGGUCCAG
Molecule: ribosomal RNA, 324 nt
Filed under: uncultured Desulfofrigus sp.
Lineage: Bacteria; Pseudomonadati; Thermodesulfobacteriota; Desulfobacteria; Desulfobacterales; Desulfobacteraceae
Description: bacterial SSU rRNA
Rfam family: Bacterial small subunit ribosomal RNA
Source: RNAcentral